UACGUAGGCAGCGAGCGUUGUUCGGAGUUACUGGGCGUAAAGGGUGUGUAGGCGGUUGUUUAAGUUUGGUGUGAAAUCUCCCGGCUCAACCUGGAGACGCCACCUGAUACUGCUGUGACUCGAGUCCGGUAGGGGAGCGUGGAAUUCCUGGUGUAGCGGUGAAAUGCGCAGAUAUCAGGAGGAACACCAGCGGCGAAGGCGGCGCUCUGGGCCGGAACUGACGCUGAGGAGCGAAAGCGUGGGUAGCAAACAGG
RNAcentral lists this ribosomal RNA (254 nucleotides) under uncultured bacterium. RNAcentral's name for it is "partial 16S ribosomal RNA". It matches the Rfam family "Bacterial small subunit ribosomal RNA", at positions 524 to 776 of the family's 1533-position model. The record is from RNAcentral.